Long non-coding RNA from Daucus carota subsp. sativus, 1191 nucleotides. RefSeq lists it as uncharacterized. The record is from RefSeq and is a predicted model, not a curated record. NCBI's taxonomy places the organism in Eukaryota, Viridiplantae, Streptophyta, Magnoliopsida, Apiales, Apiaceae. The transcript has 2 exons.
AUAUACUAAAUUUACAUAUAUCAUUAUUGAAUCGCGACAUAAGAGCAGAAUCAUAUAUGACAACAUUUCUAUCAAUAAUUAAUUCGUGACCACAUUGCUACUUUUUUGAAAAUUGAGCAAGAACAUUGAUAAAAAAAUAAUUUUUAUUCUAUUUCUAUCCUCAGAGGUAUCAAAGUCCAUUUUUAUAUAGAUUCCGGUGAAACAUAAAUUACAAUACACAGUAACUAAAAAGUUAAAAUUAUAACAUUACAGAUUAACUUGUCUUGAUGAAUGAAUAAUAUUUUCUAAAUCAGGUGGAUUAUAUUAUUUAUUAAAACUGAAAUAAAAGAUCUUACAAUUAUUUAAUUCAAAAACAUAUCAUCAAAUAUUUAUUUAUCUAAUGAUAUUCUCCUUAAAAAAAAAAAACACAAAUACUACAGCACCGGCACCACCAUAGUCGUAAUAGUUUAUUUACAGUUGUCGCCGCCGUAGAAAACAAACCCACUACACCACUCUUCGCCGGAGAAUCACUCAGUCGCAAGUCAAGACAGCUGGAAUAAGACUUUGCAGUACGUGGUAUUCGGCCUCAAGUUAUGUCUGCUGACCCAGCACUUGUUGAUGAAGAUGCCUCCUCAGGCUCAGGUGAUGAUAUAAACAUGUUGGAUGGAAACAAUAAGCGUCAGACUGCAACGCCAGGUUCAGGCCGUAGAAAGAGGAGUAGGAAGGCUACUGGUGAUGUUAUAGUUGAUGCUAUGCUAGAAAUAGCAGCUGCUUCCAAAAUGAGAGCAGCUGCGAUAAUGAAGAAUGAAGAACGCUUUUCAAUAAGCAAGUGCAUUAAAGUUUUAGAUGAGAUGCAAGAUGUUGAUCAGCACCUCUACUUCUUUGCUUUGGAUUUAUUUGAAAAUCCCAACUCCAGAGAGACUUUUAUUUCUCUGAAAAGUGAAAGGCGGUUAACAUGGCUACAGACCAAAUUUAAUGCCUCUUCGAGUGCAGCAGUCUCGCAACUAUAAUGAUCUUUCCCUUUACCUGGGUUUAGGACCUUUUGUUAGAUUCUGUGAUCUUAGAUGGUCUUUGCUUAACUUUUUAUUGUAUUUUAUAGAGAUGACCUACGGUUUGUUAAGUUCUAUAAGUCCCGGCUUCGGUUCGUACUUUUGCCAUGCUUAUAAACUGAGACAAAUUUUUGCUUUAAAAUGUUACUACUAUUUGUUCAUA